Molecule: ribosomal RNA, 492 nt
Filed under: uncultured bacterium
Lineage: Bacteria
Description: partial 16S ribosomal RNA
Rfam family: Bacterial small subunit ribosomal RNA
Source: RNAcentral
AGUGAACGCUGGCGGUAGGCCUAACACAUGCAAGUCGAACGGAAGCACCGUAAGUGCUUGCUCUUACGGGUGGCGAGUGGCGGACGGGUGAGGUAUACAUCGGAAUCUUCUUUUUCGUGUGGGAUAAUGCAGGAAAAGCUACGCUAAUACAGCAUACGUCGCACGGGUGAAAGCCGGGGAUCUUUGGACCUUGUGCGAUUGAAUGAGCCGAUGUCGGAUUAGCUAUUUGGCGGGGUAAAGGCCAAGCAAGGCGACGAUGCGUAGAGGGUCUGGGAGGAUGAUCAGCGACACUGGAACGGGAGCACGGUCCAGACCACUGCGAGAGGCAGCAGGGGGGAAUAUUGGACAAAGGGCGCAAGCCGGAUCCAGGCACACCGCGUGGGUGAAGGAGGCCUUCAGGUUGGAAAGCUGUUUUGUGGGGUAGGAAAAGCAGCAGGUUAAUACCCCGCUGUUCUGACGGUACCCAAAAAAUAAGCACCGGCUAACUUCGUG